RNAcentral lists this ribosomal RNA (459 nucleotides) under uncultured bacterium. RNAcentral describes it as "partial 16S ribosomal RNA". It matches the Rfam family "Bacterial small subunit ribosomal RNA", at positions 338 to 795 of the family's 1533-position model. The record is from RNAcentral.
CCUACGGGCGGCAGCAGUGAGGAAUAUUGGUCAAUGGGCGAGAGCCUGAACCAGCCAAGUCGCGUGAGGGAAGACGGUCCUAUGGAUUGUAAACCUCUUUUGCCGGGGAGCAAAACGCGGUACGUGUACCGCAUCGCGAGUACCCUGCGAACAAGCAUCGGCUAACUCCGUGCCAGCACCCGCGGUAAUACGGAGGCUGCGAUCGUUACCCGGAUUUAUUGGGUUUAAGGGGUGGGCAGGGGGGGAGUUAAGUCAGCGGUAAAAUUUCGGGGCCCAACCCCGCCGAGCCGUUGACAGUGGCUUGCUAGAGUGGGCGAGAAGUAUGCGGAAUGCGUGGUGUAGCGGUGAAAUGCAUAGAUAUCACGCAGAACUCCGAUUGCGAAGGCAGCAUACCGGCGCCCAACUGACGCUCAGGCACGAAAGCGUGGGUAUCGAACAGGAUUAGAUACCCUUGUAGUC